Molecule: ribosomal RNA, 515 nt
Filed under: uncultured bacterium
Lineage: Bacteria
Description: partial 16S ribosomal RNA
Source: RNAcentral
GUAGUUAGCCGUGGCUUUCUGAUUAGGUACCGUCAAGAUGUGCACAGUUACUUACACAUAUGUUCUUCCCUAAUAACAGAGUUUUACGAUCCGAAGACCUUCAUCACUCACGCGGCGUUGCUCCGUCAGGCUUUCGCCCAUUGCGGAAGAUUCCCUACUGCUGCCUCCCGUAGGAGUCUGGACCGUGUCUCAGUUCCAGUGUGGCCGAUCACCCUCUCAGGUCGGCUAUGCAUCGUUGCCUUGGUAAGCCGUUACCUUACCAACUAGCUAAUGCAGCGCGGAUCCAUCUAUAAGUGACAGCAAGACCGUCUUUCACUUUUGAACCAUGCGGUUCAAAAUAUUAUCCGGUAUUAGCUCCGGUUUCCCGAAGUUAUCCCAGUCUUAUAGGUAGGUUAUCCACGUGUUACUCACCCGUCCGCCGCUAACAUCAGAGAAGCAAGCUUCUCGUCCGUUCGCUCGACUUGCAUGUAUUAGGCACGCCGCCAGCGUUCAUCCUGAGCCAGGAUCAAACUCUG